GCUUAGCUGGCUCAUUUAGUAGAGCAUAUGACUCUUGAUCUUGGGGUCAUGAGUUCAAGCCCCAUGUUGGACA
RNAcentral lists this transfer RNA (73 nucleotides) under Canis lupus familiaris (dog). It matches the Rfam family "tRNA". From Rfam's summary of the family: Transfer RNA (tRNA) molecules are approximately 80 nucleotides in length. Their secondary structure includes four short double-helical elements and three loops (D, anti-codon, and T loops). RNAcentral also lists the same sequence under 1 other name. The record is from Rfam by way of RNAcentral. Lineage: Eukaryota; Metazoa; Chordata; Mammalia; Carnivora; Canidae.